RNAcentral lists this ribosomal RNA (329 nucleotides) under uncultured eukaryote. RNAcentral's name for it is "partial 18S ribosomal RNA". It matches the Rfam family "Eukaryotic small subunit ribosomal RNA", at positions 1470 to 1796 of the family's 1831-position model. The record is from RNAcentral.
CCCUUAGAUGUUCUGGGCCGCACGCGCGCUACACUGACGAUGGCAACGAGUUUUUCCUUCGCCGAAAGGUGUGGGUAAUCUUUUGAAAAAUCGUCGUGCUGGGGAUAGAUCAUUGCAAUUUUUGAUCUUGAACGAGGAAUUCCUAGUAAGCGCGAGUCAUCAGCUCGCGUUGAUUACGUCCCUGCCCUUUGUACACACCGCCCGUCGCUACUACCGAUUGAAUGGUUUAGUGAGGACUCCUGAUUGGCGCCGCCGCCCCGGCAACGGAGCAGCGGACUGCCGAAAAGUUGUUCAAACUUGAUCAUUUAGAGGAAGUAAAAGUCGUAACA